RNAcentral lists this ribosomal RNA (253 nucleotides) under uncultured bacterium. RNAcentral describes it as "partial 16S ribosomal RNA". It matches the Rfam family "Bacterial small subunit ribosomal RNA", at positions 524 to 776 of the family's 1533-position model. The record is from RNAcentral.
UACGUAGGAGGCGAGCGUUGUCCGGAUUUACUGGGCGUAAAGGGCGCGCAGGCGGCACUUCAAGUACGAAGUGAAAUCUCACUGCUCAACGGUGAGGGUGCUUUGUAAACUGGAGAGCUAGAGGACGGUAGAGGGGGGUAGAAUUGCUGGUGUAGCGGUGAAAUGCGUAGAGAUCAGCAGGAAUACCCGUGGCGAAGGCGGCCUGCUGGGUUCUGGCUGACACUGAGGCGCGACAGCGUGGGGAGCAAACAGG